This 471-nucleotide long non-coding RNA is filed under the name Anser brachyrhynchus (Pink-footed goose). Its description in RNAcentral is "lncRNA (ENSABRG00000008318.1)". The record is from RNAcentral. Lineage: Eukaryota; Metazoa; Chordata; Aves; Anseriformes; Anatidae.
CCUCACAGACUAUUUAAGGCUCUCCAAAAUACCAGCAGAAGGGCACUGACGCAGUCAAUAUUCUGUUUAUCAGUAUCAUCAGCGAUGUCACAGUCUGGGCAUGCAAAGAUCUCUUGAUAUAACAACCUCCUCAGCACCUAAAUCCUGACAUUCACGGAAGUACAACAAUAGACAAAAAGGUCCGACUUUGGAAAGAGUCAAACUACUAAAAGCAGAUCCUUCUGGGAGCUAUUCCAUGGAGAACGGCAGUGACAGAGUUAGCACCUCCAAGGACUGAUUUUUAGAAACAUCUGACCAAGCAACCCUGCUUCCAACUACUUAGUUACUGAAAUCUAUGGAAGGAAGGAGAAAGAAGAAUUCACCACUGAGUUAAUUCACGCAAGCAGAAAGCGCAUUUUUAAUGCUUCUAAGGCUCUAAGACUCAGUGCAUCGUACACGUCAUUCCUAUCUCUGUCAGCUGCAAACCAAACU